Molecule: long non-coding RNA, 615 nt
Organism: Stegostoma tigrinum
Lineage: Eukaryota; Metazoa; Chordata; Chondrichthyes; Orectolobiformes; Stegostomatidae
Exons: 3
Source: RefSeq, a predicted model, not a curated record
UCUGGGUUCUCAUGUUGAGCUGGAUGUAGAGCAUUGCCCUUCAUAUGAGUGAACCAUCUGACUGCCGAGUGACCUCUGAUGAGCAUGCCCUCAAUUACAGGUAUAUCCACAUGCUGAAUCAGAAAAUAGUCAUGGAACAACAAGUCAAAGAAUGUUUGGUUAAGGAACAGCUUGUCAUGGAUCAACCUGCAACGAAGAAUGAGAGAAUGUUUCAUAGGGCUUCCUCGCAUGAUGGUAGAACCCAAACAGAAAACAGAAUCCGUUGAAAUUAGUUAUGUCGGCACAAAAAAGUUUGUUUCAUAUUGAAAGCAAGAUGGAAACCUGAAGAAUCUUCAGUAACAGUGACAGAAAUCAUGCUAAGUAAGAAGCAAUCCUCAAGUAGCAGAACGGAGGAAGUAAAUAUAAUGGCUUCGCCAAUACUGAGGCUGAAUAAAAGAAUCCAAGCUAAUCGAAUUAGAGAGUCUACACACUUCAACACUGAUUUACCAGCAGAUCAAGAAUAGACAUCUGCUGACACACAUUGAAGAUGUGCUGCAACCAACCUGAUGGGAGCCACCACGGAGAAGAGAAGGCCAAUGUCUAGUGAUCCUGGAGAUGGUCAAGAAGAAAUAGCCU